AGAGUUUGAUCAUGGCUCAGAUUGAACGCUGGCGGCAGGCCUAACACAUGCAAGUCGAGCGGCAGCGGGAAAGUAGCUUGCUACUUUUGCCGGCGAGCGGCGGACGGGUGAGUAACACGUGGGCAACCUGCCCAACAGAGGGGGAUAACACAUGGAAACAGGUGCUAAUACCGCAUAGGUCAUCAUUCCACAUGGAAAGAUGACAAAAGACGCUACGGUGUCGCUGUUGGAUGGGCCCGCGCUGCAUUAGUUAGUUGGUGAGGUAACGGCUCACCAAGACCAUGAUGCAUAGCCGACCUGAGAGGGUGAUCGGCCACACUGGGACUGAGACACGGCCCAGACUCCUACGGGAGGCAGCAGUAGGGAAUCUUGCACAAUGGGCGCAAGCCUGAUGCAGCCAUGCCGCGUGUAUGAAGAAGGCCUUCGGGUUGUAAAGUACUUUCAGCGAGGAGGAAAGGUUGAUGCCUAAUACGUAUCAACUGUGACGUUACUCGCAGAAGAAGCACCGGCUAACUCCGUGCCAGCCGCCGCGGUAAUAC
This 539-nucleotide ribosomal RNA is filed under the name uncultured bacterium. Its description in RNAcentral is "bacterial SSU rRNA". It matches the Rfam family "Bacterial small subunit ribosomal RNA", at positions 8 to 526 of the family's 1533-position model. The record is from RNAcentral.